This 28-nucleotide non-coding RNA is filed under the name Homo sapiens (human). The record is from RNAcentral. Lineage: Eukaryota; Metazoa; Chordata; Mammalia; Primates; Hominidae.
UGGCGAUGAUGCCAGCCGUGACCACCGG